RNAcentral lists this ribosomal RNA (324 nucleotides) under uncultured bacterium. RNAcentral describes it as "bacterial SSU rRNA". It matches the Rfam family "Bacterial small subunit ribosomal RNA", at positions 28 to 334 of the family's 1533-position model. The record is from RNAcentral.
GAUGAACGCUGGCGGCGUGCUUAACACAUGCAAGUCGAACGAAGCACUUUUACAGAUUUCUUCGGAAUGAAGUUUUUGUGACUGAGUGGCGGACGGGUGAGUAACGCGUGGGUAACCUGCCUCACACAGGGGGAUAACAGUUGGAAACGGCUGCUAAUACCGCAUAAGCGCACAGUACCGCAUGGUACAGUGUGAAAAACUCCGGUGGUGUGAGAUGGACCCGCGUCUGAUUAGCUAGUUGGCAGGGCAACGGCCUACCAAGGCGACGAUCAGUAGCCGACCUGAGAGGGUGACCGGCCACAUUGGGACUGAGACACGGCCCAA